Long non-coding RNA from Lucilia cuprina (Australian sheep blowfly), 963 nucleotides. RefSeq lists it as uncharacterized. The transcript is spliced from 3 exons. Lineage: Eukaryota; Metazoa; Arthropoda; Insecta; Diptera; Calliphoridae. The record is from RefSeq and is a predicted model, not a curated record.
AUUUAAUAGCAAGACAACAUUGAAUCUUAUUUUUUAACUUUUUUAUAUUAAAAUUUAAACAAAAAUAAUUUAAAUUAUUGUCAAUUUAAACAGUGAAUUUUUAAACAAAUUUUUAAUAAAAAUUAAAAACAAUUGUUAUUUUAAAUUAAUUUACACUCAGUAAAAGUGCAGUAGAUUUAAACAAUUAAUAAUGACUGUUGGACCAAAGACGAGCAUGGAAAUGAGUGUGUGUCAGCAACAUACCUUAAGGGAUUUAUUCUUACGUUAAGGAAAGAUGAAAAAACAGAAUUUGAAAUCAUGUGCUAAAACUCAAAGUGACUGAUUGCAUGGAAGUUGCCAACAUUUACACUCAAACAAAUACUUUUCCACAAAACAGAGUAAGAGUAAAAAAAAACAAUAAAAAUAAACUAUCUCGAAUUGCAACAAGAUGGAAGGAUAUAAAAAAUAAAAAGUUAAAAUACAGCAAAUAAAUACAACAAACAAUAACAGCAACUAGAGUUCAACAACAAAACAAACGAAGAUGUAACAAGUCUUAAUGUGUCAAAAAGAAACUUACACAUACAUUUUCAUUUAAACAAUUGUUUGUAAAAACGGCAAAGGGAAGUAAAAGGAACUAAAUACAGCAAAAGUAGAGAUAACACUUUACCGACAUAGACGCUCGCGUCUGCCAAACUAAAGCAGGGUUAAAUGCGAAAAAAAGCAGAAGGACGAAUACAGAAAGUGGCAUCAACAAAAGGAUUUAAUGCAUAUGUUACCGUUAUAUAUUUGUUUUUAUAGUAAAGUGAACAAAAGAGAGGGUGGCAAAAAAGGGUUAAAAUAAAACCUUAACUUCACAUGUUGUGGGAAUUUUGAUGUAUUAAAUGUGACAUUAUGGUUUUGUUGGUAUUCAACAUGUUUCAUUCAUUUCAUAUAUUUAUAUUUCUUUUAUUUUUAUCUUUAUCUUCAAACAUUUAUUCAUCAUAG